RNAcentral lists this long non-coding RNA (466 nucleotides) under Mus musculus (house mouse). RNAcentral describes it as "predicted gene, 50237". The record is from RNAcentral. Lineage: Eukaryota; Metazoa; Chordata; Mammalia; Rodentia; Muridae.
CAGAACACAGAGAAGCAGCUUAACACCUAGGUUAAGACACAACGUUGAAAAAUAAUUUUCCUGAUGCCUGAUUCCACAAAUGCAGCCUGAACUGAAGUCCCACAACACAUUGUCUGGGCUCCUGUACAGAUGAUAAUCAAGAAUGCUGCAGAAGCAUGCUAGCUUCCAGAAUGAUUCAUGUGAUAGGAUGACUUGUGAGUUCCUGAGUGUCCUGACAGUGGUGACAAGAAAGCUGUGUUGAGCGCACAGAGAAAGAAAAAUCAGGGAGAGCAGCCACUUGCAAACAAGACGAAGAAACUUCCUAUCUCCACCAUGGGCUACAGCAAGGAGAGCCGCCCUGGUGUCAACUUGGGGACAACUAAAAAUGAUGACUCAUGAGAGUUUUUCCGAGGUGGGACAUUCUGGAACUUCAUCUAAAAAAUAUUAAAAAAAAAAAAAAGUCAGAACUGCUACAUCCAUUCCAGAA